AUCUCUCUUCUCAAUCGGACCGGUCAUGCCCGAUUCAGACGCGGACCGGUUCAGUCUUCCUCUUCUUCACUUUCCUUGUCAUCCGCACCGACUGGGUCAGCCUCUCGCUCCCAAAAUUUAAACCAAACGCCGAGUCAUGUUACGGCUCCGGCUACUGUACACCAGGCACCUGUCGUCCAUUCGGUUACAGCUCCUCAGGUUCCGAUCGCGGCACCGACAAGCUUUGUUCAGUCACAGCCGCAGAGUUUGACUCUGGACUUCACAAAACCUAGCAUAUUUAGCUCUAAUGGUA
Molecule: unclassified non-coding RNA, 292 nt
Filed under: Hevea brasiliensis (rubber tree)
Lineage: Eukaryota; Viridiplantae; Streptophyta; Magnoliopsida; Malpighiales; Euphorbiaceae
Source: RNAcentral